GAGAGUUAAAUAGUACGUGAAAUUGUUGAAAGGGAAACGAUUGAAGUCAGUCAUGCUAGUGAAAAUUCAGUUUGGUGGGUUUUGGGUUCAGGAGUUGAGGCAGGGUCAAACCGUUUCUCUUUUGAACUUGGAAUUUGUCAGAUGCACUUUUUCUUUGGCAGGUCAGCGUCGAUUUCGGAGGUUGUAAAAUACUUGGGGAAAAGUAGCUCUGCUUCGGGAGAGUGUUAUAGACCUUGGGUGAUGCGGCCUGCGGGAUCGAGGAUUGCAGCAAAUGCUUUUGGCUUGUCGCCUGAUCUCUGGACGUCAUCUCGCUUGUAUCAACAUUCUUGGUACCGGUGAGUAAUGGUGCUCAUAGGUUAGAGCGAUCAAAAAUUUGCUAAGGAUGCUGACGUAAUGGCUUUAAACGA
Molecule: ribosomal RNA, 407 nt
Filed under: uncultured Diversispora
Lineage: Eukaryota; Fungi; Glomeromycota; Glomeromycetes; Diversisporales; Diversisporaceae
Description: partial 28S ribosomal RNA
Source: RNAcentral